GCCCGCCUAGCUCAAUCGGAUAGAGCGUCAGACUCUUAGGCGGGUUCAACUCCUCAACUGUGAUCUGAAGGCUGCGAGUUCGACCCUCGCGGUGGGCU
Non-coding RNA from Leucogyrophana mollusca, 98 nucleotides. Lineage: Eukaryota; Fungi; Basidiomycota; Agaricomycetes; Boletales. The record is from the annotation of a GenBank genome assembly.